CUGCUCAAGCAGCGCAUGUGCUAAAACUGAAACCAGACAGAGAGGGUCGCACGGCCCUGCGCAAGGACGGCACGCAGCCGUGAUGUGCUUCAUACUUUC
This is a small nuclear RNA of Tupaia belangeri (northern tree shrew), 99 nucleotides long. The record is from Ensembl. Lineage: Eukaryota; Metazoa; Chordata; Mammalia; Scandentia; Tupaiidae.